UGGGGAAUAUUGGACAAUGGGCGCAAGCCUGAUCCAGCCAUGCCGCGUGGGUGAAGAAGGCCUUCGGGUUGUAAAGCCUUUUGUCCGGAAAGAAAAGCACUGGAUUAAUACUUCGGUGUUCUGACCGGUACCGGAAGAAUAAGCACCGGCUAACUUCGUGCC
This 162-nucleotide ribosomal RNA is filed under the name uncultured bacterium. RNAcentral's name for it is "partial 16S ribosomal RNA". It matches the Rfam family "Bacterial small subunit ribosomal RNA", at positions 355 to 509 of the family's 1533-position model. The record is from RNAcentral.